UAUUGCACAAUGGGCACAAGUCUGAUGCAGCCAUGCCGCGUGUAUGAAGAAGGCCUUCGGGUUGUAAAGUACUUUCAGCCGGGAGGAAGGCGGUGAAGUUAAUAGCUUCACCGAUUGACGUUACCCGCAGAAGAAGCACCGGCUAACUCCGUGCCAGCAGCCGCGGUAAUACGGAGGGUGCAAGCGUUAAUCGGAAUUACUGGGCGUAAAGCGCACGCAGGCGGUCUGUCAAGUCGGAUGUGAAAUCCCCGGGCUUAACCUGGGAACUGCAUUCGAAACUGGCAGGCUGGAGUCUUGUAGAGGGGGGUAGAAUUCCAGGUGUAGCGGUGAAAUGCGUAGAGAUCUGGAGGAAUACCGGUGGCGAAGGCGGCCCCCUGGACAAAGACUGACGCUCAGGUGCGAAAGCGUGGGGAGCAAACAGG
Molecule: ribosomal RNA, 422 nt
Filed under: uncultured bacterium
Lineage: Bacteria
Description: bacterial SSU rRNA
Rfam family: Bacterial small subunit ribosomal RNA
Source: RNAcentral